AACGAACGCUGGCGGCAUGCCUAACACAUGCAAGUCGAACGAGACCUUCGGGUCUAGUGGCGCACGGGUGCGUAACGCGUGGGAACCUGCCCUUAGGUUCGGAAUAACUCCCCGAAAGGGGUGCUAAUACCGGAUAAUGUCUUCGGACCAAAGAUUUAUCGCCUUUGGAUGGGCCCGCGUUGGAUUAGCUAGUUGGUAGGGUAAAAGCCUACCAAGGCGACGAUCCAUAGCUGGUCUGAGAGGAUGAUCAGCCACACUGGGACUGAGACACGGCCCAGACGAGGCGGAGAGGAGGCAGGGGGGAAUAGAAGAAGGGGGGAAAACGGAUAAAGCAGCAGGGGCGUGGGAGUGAAGAAGCCCGUGGGGUUAUAAUGCACGUGGGCGGGGGAUGAAAAGGACAGUACGGGAAGAAUAAGCCGCGGCACACUCCGGACCAGCAGCCGAGGAAAUAAGAGAAGCUCAACGUUUCAUC
Molecule: ribosomal RNA, 472 nt
Filed under: uncultured bacterium
Lineage: Bacteria
Description: partial 16S ribosomal RNA
Rfam family: Bacterial small subunit ribosomal RNA
Source: RNAcentral